RNAcentral lists this ribosomal RNA (501 nucleotides) under uncultured bacterium. RNAcentral's name for it is "partial 16S ribosomal RNA". It matches the Rfam family "Bacterial small subunit ribosomal RNA", at positions 30 to 523 of the family's 1533-position model. The record is from RNAcentral.
AUUGAACGCUGGCGGCAGGCUUAACACAUGCAAGUCGAGCGGGGAUAUGUAGCUUGCUAUAUAUCCUAGCGGCGGACGGGUGAGUAAUGCUUAGGAAUCUGCCUAUUAGUGGGGGACAACAUUUCGAAAGGGAUGCUAAUACCGCAUACGCCCUAAGGGGGAAAGCAGGGGAUCUUCGGACCUUGCGCUAAUAGAUGAGCCUAAGUCGGAUUAGCUAGUUGGUGGGGUAAAGGACUACCAAGGCGACGAUCUGUAGCGGGUCUGAGAGGAUGAGCACCCACACUGGGACUGAGAGCCGGCCCAGCCUCCUACGGGAGGCAGCAUUGGGGAAUAUUGGUCAAUGGGGGGAACCCUGAUCCAGCCAUGCCGAGUGUGUGAAGAAGGCCUUUUGGUUGUAAAGCACUUUAAGCGAGGAGGAGGCUACCGAGAUUAAUACUCUUGGAUGGUGGACGUUACUCGCAGAAUAAGCACCGGCUAACUCUGUGCCAGCAGCCGCCGUAA